UAAUACAGAGGUCCCAAGCGUUGUUCGGAUUCACUGGGCGUAAAGGGUGCGUAGGCGGUCGGGUAAGUCUGAUGUGAAAUCUCCAAGCUCAACUUGGAAAUGGCAUCGGAUACUAUCCGGCUCGAGGAAUGGAGGGGAGACUGGAAUUCUCGGUGUAGCAGUGAAAUGCGUAGAUAUCGAGAGGAACACCAGUGGCGAAGGCGAGUCUCUGGACAUUUCCUGACGCUGAGGCACGAAAGCCAGGGGAGCAAACGGG
RNAcentral lists this ribosomal RNA (256 nucleotides) under uncultured prokaryote. Its description in RNAcentral is "partial 16S ribosomal RNA". It matches the Rfam family "Bacterial small subunit ribosomal RNA", at positions 521 to 776 of the family's 1533-position model. The record is from RNAcentral.